Molecule: non-coding RNA, 768 nt
Organism: Miniopterus natalensis
Lineage: Eukaryota; Metazoa; Chordata; Mammalia; Chiroptera; Miniopteridae
Source: RefSeq, a predicted model, not a curated record
CGCUGCUCCCUGUGGAGCCGUCCGCCCUCACAUCCAGGCCGGCCUUGCCCCUCUCGUAACCUUACCUAGGUGUCAAAUUAGUUCCCGCCGGGUGACGUGGCGCUUGCUGCGAGAGCCGCCGCCCCUGGCCGGGCCCCGCACUCCCUCCCGACUCCCGGCGAGGCCUCCGGCGCGGGUCUGCUGAGGACGCGGUUCUCAGCUGUGAUGCGAGUAUUUCAGACAAACUUCUGAGCUAGAACUACGGAGAGCUGAAGAAGGUUAUCACUAAAUACUGGAACAAGAAAUGAGUUCACCACCACGGUGGCAACUUGGACAAAGGCAGGCCUGUAGGACUGUGACUGACAUGGUAUCUCGCAGUGUAGAGAAAAAGCCCUGCGUCCAACAGCAUCAGAAACAUCCUUCUUUGUGGAUUACACCAAUCUGGGAAUGCUCGUGCUGAAAAUGAUGGAAAGAGAGUUUUCUAUUCUGCCCCGCUCCCCGAAACAGUAGCUGGAGAAACUGCCUAAGAGAGCAAAGAGGACUUAAUUCUCUCCCGGAUCCAAGGUUAAGAUGGCCUUCUUCUUCACCGAGUUUGCAAAGGUAGUUUUGUAAAUUUUGUCUAAGACCAAACUAUAAAAGAUUGUUGACUAGGGAAAUUUAAUCAGAAUACACAGUAUGCCAGUGGGAGAGGAUGAGGGAGGGAGCAAGGUUUAUGACAGUGCCUGUAAAGUUUUAUUAAAAACUGACUGGUUUAGCCCAGCCUACUAACCCUGUGACUCAGCGGUUGAG